Molecule: ribosomal RNA, 723 nt
Filed under: uncultured bacterium
Lineage: Bacteria
Description: bacterial SSU rRNA
Rfam family: Bacterial small subunit ribosomal RNA
Source: RNAcentral
AGAGUUUGAUCAUGGCUCAGAAUCAACGCUGGCGGCGUGCCUAACACAUGCAAGUCGAACGAGAAAGUGGAGCAAUCCAUGAGUAAAGUGGCGUACGGGUGAGUAACACGUGACUAACCUACCCUUGAGUGGGGGAUAACUUCGGGAAACCGAGGCUAAUACCGCAUAAUACCUUCGGGUCAAAGGAGUAAUUCGCUUAAGGAGGGGGUCGCGGCUGAUUAGCUAGUUGGUAGGGUAAUGGCCUACCAAGGCAAUGAUCAGUAUCCGGCCUGAGAGGGCGCACGGACACACUGGAACUGAAACACGGUCCAGACUCCUACGGGAGGCAGCAGUGGGGAAUUUUGCACAAUGGGGGAAACCCUGAUGCAGCAACGCCGCGUGGAGGAUGAAGUCCCUUGGGAUGUAAACUCCUUUCGACCGGGACGAUAAUGACGGUACCGGUGGAAGAAGCCCCGGCUAACUCUGUGCCAGCAGCCGCGGUAAUACAGAGGGGGCAAGCGUUGUUCGGAAUUAUUGGGCGUAAAGGGUGCGUAGGCGGUGCGGUAAGUCUUCUGUGAAAUCUCCGGGCUCAACUCGGAGUCUGCAGGAGAAACUGCCGUGCUUGAGUAUGGGAGAGGUGAGUGGAAUUCCUGGUGUAGCGGUGAAAUGCGUAGAUAUCAGGAGGAACACCUGUGGCGAAAGCGGCUCACUGGACCAUAACUGACGCUGAGGCACGAAAGCUAG